This 258-nucleotide long non-coding RNA is filed under the name Setaria viridis. RNAcentral's name for it is "long non-coding RNA (SVIR_LNC001553)". Lineage: Eukaryota; Viridiplantae; Streptophyta; Magnoliopsida; Poales; Poaceae. The record is from RNAcentral.
GGCAUAGUGAUAAACCAUUUGUUGGAGCUAACUAUUUACAUGAGUUGAUGAAACCAGAAUGAGUUCCAGCAUGAAGAUAGAAGGUUGAUAGCUCAUGUGUCAAGGAUUAACAAGCUAGAGUGAAGAUUGGAAGAUUCAAGAAACUAUAUUUCUCUAGCAAUGAUUAAGAUCAAACUUCAUCAUCAAGCAAAGAGGAUUUGAUGGCUUAAGGAUUAAGUAUCAACAAGGAUAUGCUUGUGGAUUGAUGACAAAUUGGAU